Molecule: ribosomal RNA, 207 nt
Filed under: uncultured bacterium
Lineage: Bacteria
Description: partial 16S ribosomal RNA
Rfam family: Bacterial small subunit ribosomal RNA
Source: RNAcentral
UGCGUAGGCGGCUUACUAAGUCAGAUGUGAAAGCCCCGGGCUUAACCUGGGAACUGCAUUUGAUACUGGUAGGCUAGAGUAUGAUAGAGGGGGGUAGAAUUCCUGGUGUGGCGGUGAAAUGCGUAGAUAUCGGGAGGAAUACCAGUGGCGAAGGCGGCCCCCUGGAUUAAUACUGACGCUGAGGUACGAAAGCGUGGGUAGCGAACA